Molecule: ribosomal RNA, 448 nt
Filed under: uncultured bacterium
Lineage: Bacteria
Description: partial 16S ribosomal RNA
Rfam family: Bacterial small subunit ribosomal RNA
Source: RNAcentral
AACGAACGCUGGCGGCAUGCCUAACACAUGCAAUUCGAACGAAGCCUUCGGGCUUAGUGGCGUACGGGUGCGUAACGCGUGGGAAUCUGCCAUUGGGUUCGGAAUAACAGUUAGAAAUGACUGCUAAUACCGGAUGAUGUUGUCGGACCAAAGAUUUAUCGCCCAAGGAUGAGCCAGCGCAGGAUUAGGUAGUUUGUGAGGUAAUGGCCCGCCACGUCGACGACCCUUAGCUGGUCUGUGAGGAUGAUCAGCCACACUGGGCACGAGACACGGCCAAGACUCCUACGGGAGGCAGCAGUGGGGAAUAGUGGACAAUGGGCGAAAGCCUGAUCCAGCAAUGCCGCGUGAGUGAUGAGGCCUUAGGGUUGUAAAGCUCUUUUACCAGGGAUGAUAAUGACAGUACCUGAAGAAUAAGCUCCGGCUAACUCCGUGCCAGCAGCCGCGGUAA